GAGUGAUCGAAAGAUGAAAAGCACUUUGGAAAGAGAGUCAAACAGCACGUGAAAUUGUUGAAAGGGAAGCGCUUGCAGCCAGACUUGCUUGCAGUUGCUCAUCCGGGCUUUUGCCCGGUGCACUCUUCUGCAGGCAGGCCAGCAUCAGUUUGGGCGGUGGGAAAAAGGUCUCUGACACGUUCCUUCCUUCGGGUUGGCCAUAUAGGGGAGACGUCAUACCACCAGCCUGGACUGAGGUCCGCGCAUCUGCUAGGAUGCUGGCGUAAUGGCUGUAAGCGGCCC
Molecule: ribosomal RNA, 282 nt
Filed under: Curvularia sp. GR-35
Lineage: Eukaryota; Fungi; Ascomycota; Dothideomycetes; Pleosporales; Pleosporaceae
Description: partial 28S ribosomal RNA
Rfam family: Eukaryotic large subunit ribosomal RNA
Source: RNAcentral